Molecule: long non-coding RNA, 180 nt
Organism: Octopus bimaculoides (California two-spot octopus)
Lineage: Eukaryota; Metazoa; Mollusca; Cephalopoda; Octopoda; Octopodidae
Source: RefSeq, a predicted model, not a curated record
UUUCAGAACCCAUCGAGCGAAAUCAUUAUGAAGGAUACCGUAACUUAAAAGAUCAUGGCAGAACGGAGGCUUCCUUAGACGGUUACCAUGGUAAAAGUAUAUAUAGUGAUUCAUCCAAAGAACAUCGUGAACAUCAUGAUGAGCGCUAUCCUCAUAAAACUUAUGAUAAAUCAUCUGAAG